This 555-nucleotide ribosomal RNA is filed under the name Citrobacter freundii. RNAcentral describes it as "partial 23S ribosomal RNA". It matches the Rfam family "Bacterial large subunit ribosomal RNA", at positions 1 to 586 of the family's 2925-position model. Lineage: Bacteria; Pseudomonadati; Pseudomonadota; Gammaproteobacteria; Enterobacterales; Enterobacteriaceae. RNAcentral also lists the same sequence under 2 other names. The record is from RNAcentral.
GGGUUGUGAGGUUAAGCGACUAAGCGUACACGGUGGAUGCCCUGGCAGUCAGAGGCGAUGAAGGACGUGCUAAUCUGCGAUAAGCGUCGGUAAGGUGAUAUGAACCGUUAUAACCGGCGAUUUCCGAAUGGGGAAACCCAGUGUGUUUCGACACACUAUCAUUACGUGAAUACAUAGCGUAAUGAAGCGAACCGGGGGAACUGAAACAUCUAAGUACCCCGAGGAAAAGAAAUCAACCGAGAUUCCCCCAGUAGCGGCGAGCGAACGGGGAGCAGCCCAGAGUCUGAAUCAGCAUGUGUGUUAGUGGAAGCGUCUGGAAAGUCGCACGAUACAGGGUGAAAGUCCCGUACACAAAAGUGCAUGUGUUGUGAACUCGAAGAGUAGGGCGGGACACGUGGUAUCCUGUCUGAAUAUGGGGGGACCAUCCUCCAAGGCUAAAUACUCCUGACUGACCGAUAGUGAACCAGUACCGUGAGGGAAAGGCGAAAAGAACCCCGGCGAGGGGAGUGAAAAAGAACCUGAAACCGUGUACGUACAAGCAGUGGGAGCACCCUU